RNAcentral lists this ribosomal RNA (544 nucleotides) under uncultured Ascomycota. Its description in RNAcentral is "SSU rRNA". It matches the Rfam family "Eukaryotic small subunit ribosomal RNA", at positions 549 to 1098 of the family's 1831-position model. The record is from RNAcentral. Lineage: Eukaryota; Fungi; Ascomycota.
UGGAGGGCAAGUCUGGUGCCAGCAGCCGCGGUAAUUCCAGCUCCAAUAGCGUAUAUUAAAGUUGUUGUGGUUAAAAAGCUCGCAGUUGAACCUUGGGCCUGGCUGGCCGGUCCGCCUCACCGCGUGUACUGGUCCGGCCGGGCCUUUCCCUCUGUGGAACCCUAUGCCCUUCACUGGGUGUAGCGGGGAAACAGGACUUUUACUUUGAAAAAAUUAGAGUGCUCCAGGCAGGCCUUUGCUCGAAUACAUUAGCAUGGAAUAAUAAAAUAGGACGUGUGGUUCUAUUUUGUUGGUUUCUAGGACCGCCGUAAUGAUUAAUAGGGAUAGUCGGGGGCGUCAGUAUUCAGCUGUCAGAGGUGAAAUUCUUGGAUUUGCUGAAGACUAACUACUGCGAAAGCAUUCGCCAAGGAUGUUUUCAUUAAUCAGGGAACGAAAGUUAGGGGAUCGAAGACGAUCAGAUACCGUCGUAGUCUUAACCAUAAACUAUGCCGACUAGGGAUCGGACGGGAUUCUAUGAUGACCCGUUUGGCGCCUUACGGGAAAC